RNAcentral lists this ribosomal RNA (495 nucleotides) under uncultured bacterium. Its description in RNAcentral is "bacterial SSU rRNA". It matches the Rfam family "Bacterial small subunit ribosomal RNA", at positions 28 to 526 of the family's 1533-position model. The record is from RNAcentral.
GACGAACGCUGGCGGCGUGCUUAACACAUGCAAGUCGAACGGAAAGGUCUCUUCGGAGAUACUCGAGUGGCGAACGGGUGAGUAACACGUGGGCAAUCUGCCCUGCACUUCGGGAUAAGCCUGGGAAACUGGGUCUAAUACCGGAUAGGACCACGAGACGCAUGUCUUGUGGUGGAAAGCUUUUGCGGUGUGGGAUGGGCCCGCGGCCUAUCAGCUUGUUGGUGGGGUGACGGCCUACCAAGGCGACGACGGGUAGCCGGCCUGAGAGGGUGUCCGGCCACACUGGGACUGAGAUACGGCCCAGACUCCUACGGGAGGCAGCAGUGGGGAAUAUUGCACAAUGGGCGCAAGCCUGAUGCAGCGACGCCGCGUGGGGGAUGACGGCCUUCGGGUUGUAAACCUCUUUCACCAUCGACGAAGGUUCGGGUUUUCUCGGAUUGACGGUAGGUGGAGAAGAAGCACCGGCCAACUACGUGCCAGCCGCCGCCGUAAAAC